GACGAACGCUGGCGGCGUGCCUAAUACAUGCAAGUAGAACGCUGAAGCGAGGAGCUUGCUCUUCUUGGAUGAGUUGCGAACGGGUGAGUAACGCGUAGGUAACCUGCCUUGUAGCGGGGGAUAACUAUUGGAAACGAUAGCUAAUACCGCAUAACAAUGAAUGACACAUGUCCUUUAUUUGAAAGGGGCAAUUGCUCCACUACAAGAUGGACCUGCGUUGUAUUAGCUAGUAGGUGAGGUAAUGGCUCACCUAGGCGACGAUACAUAGCCGACCUGAGAGGGUGAUCGGCCACACUGGGACUGAGACACGGCCCAGACUCCUACGGGAGGCAGCAGUAGGGAAUCUUCGGCAAUGGGGGCAACCCUGACCGAGCAACGCCGCGUGAGUGAAGAAGGUUGUCGGAUCGUAAAGCUCUGUUGUAAGUCAAGAACGGGUGUGAGAGUGGAAAGUUCACACUGUGACGGUAGCUUACCAGAAAGGGACGGCUAACUACGUG
Molecule: ribosomal RNA, 497 nt
Filed under: uncultured bacterium
Lineage: Bacteria
Description: partial 16S ribosomal RNA
Rfam family: Bacterial small subunit ribosomal RNA
Source: RNAcentral